RNAcentral lists this long non-coding RNA (2810 nucleotides) under Sus scrofa (pig). Its description in RNAcentral is "lncRNA (ENSSSCG00025066926.1)". Lineage: Eukaryota; Metazoa; Chordata; Mammalia; Artiodactyla; Suidae. The record is from RNAcentral.
AGAAGUGGUCUUACUUCAUUUUGGCUGGCACUGCAAGUCACGAAAUACAAGUUACCACUAUGCAUCCAUCAGAAUGAUCAAGAUGAAAAAUCAGGCGAUUGUUGGAGAGACUGUCAAGCAGCUAGAAUUCUUAUACACUGCUAGUGGAGUGUCAAAUGAUUCCAUGCUUUGGAAAAUGUUUGUUAGGCUCUAUUAAAUCUGAACAUAUGCAUACCCUAUGACCCUAAAAGUCCACUGCUAAGUAUAUUCCCAACAGAAAUGCAUGUAUGUUUGCUAAAGGUGUAUGUAGUAAUGUUCAUUGCUGCACUAUUCAUAAUAGCCCCAAACCAGAAGUUCCCAAUUGCUUAUGAAUGGUGCCUGGGUAAAUUAACUGUGAUACGUUCACACAGUGGCAUUCUAUGUAAGACAGUGACAAUAAACAAAUCAUAACCACAAUGAAAAUUAUAGCUAUCACUUGAAAACACAAUACUGAAUUGAAAAAGCCAAAUACAAAUUGGUACACACAUGUUAUAUGAUUCUGUUUAUAUGAAGUUCAAAAGCAAGCCAAACUAGGGCAUGGGGGAUGGGGGGGAUAGUGACUGGAAGGGAACAUAAGCCUUUUGGAAACCUGGUAUAUUUUUCAUGAUCUGGGUUCUGGUUACACAGGUAUCUUCAUUUUAUAAAAAUUCAUUGAAAUGGGUACUUGUCUGGGCAUUUAAAAAAAAAUUUUAACGUGUGAAUGAACACUUCAAUUUUCCCAUCUCACCAUAUCUUACCUAUCCUCACUCAGUAGAGCCUUGUUAAAUAGCACACCAACUUUAGGGGCAAAGGGAAUGAUAACAGACCCCUCUGUGACUGACCUGAGUAUGAGUGGUAUGUGGAUACCUUUUGGCCCUCAUGGUGAUUGAGGUUUCUUAUAGUUGUGAUGUUGAAUCUGCCAUAAUUCUUAUUAAGUUGUAUUACAAAGCUGAGGGUUCUACAGUUAACUGAGGGUUUGAGGUGGCAGUGAUCCUACUUCUGAGGAUUACCUACAUUUCUAGAUUCAAAGAGAAUUUUCUUAAAAUACAGAUAAAUCAAGCACAUUUUGUUCUUGUAUGUUCAGACAUAUGCCUGAAAAAAUAUCUGCUAUUGAGGAGUUCCCGGUGUGGCUCAGUGGUAAUGAAUCUGACUAGUAUCCAUGAGGAAGUGGGUUCACAUACCAGGCUUUGCUCAGUGGGUUAAGGAUCUGGCGCUGCCAUGAGCUGUGGUGUGGGUCGCAGAUGUGGCUCGGAUCCUAUGUUGCUGUGGUUAUGGCAUAGGCUGACAGGUUUGGAUCGCAUUCGACCUCUAGCCUGGGAACUUUCACAUGCCACACCUGCAGCCCUAAAAGGCAAAAAAAGACCAAAAAAUCUGCUAUUUCCAAACAACGAAAAGUAACUUUUUAUAAAGUUCCAAAUCUUAAAUUCAGUGCAUGAUUCAUGAUCAAAAUAUAUUCAAAUAAUUUUUUUUAGUUGACCAGAAUUUUUUUAAAAGAAAAAAUUUAUAUACAUGCCAUAAAAUAUAUAUAUAUAUAUAUGUGGUGUAUCUUUAUGUCAGGAAAUAUCUGGAAUUAUAACUUAGCAAGCAACCAUAAAAUGUUUUUUCUUGAAAUAAGUAGGUCUUACUCUGAAGAACAAGGAAUUUAUUUAUUUAUUUAUUAUGGCUGAACCCGCAACAUGCAGAAAUUCCUGGGCCAGGGAUUGAUUGAAUCAGUGCCACAGCAGUGACAAUGCUGGAUCCUUAACCCACUGAACCACCAGAGAACUCCAGAACAAGGAAUUUAAAUAAAUAAAUCUAUGAACUUAAUAUUCAUAUCUAAGUAAUUCCCUAGUUUUCAUCUGGGAAUGUGUGGAAAGUGAAAGCCACUUCUUGGGUCACCUGGACAGCAGUGACUUUAGGCAAAGUUGUGGAGUGUGUGAAGUAGUGCCUGAGUUUUGGAGCAAUAUGUGCAGCCUGCAAGAUGGAGGGUGGCUAUGGCCUCCAAAAAGGCACUCAGAAUUUGAAAAUUGGGUAAUAUCAUCAUUUGGAAUUAAGGUUGGAAGGAUUAGCAUGUGAUUGAUUAGAUCAGCCAUCUGAAAAUAGAAUUAACUCAUUCUAAAAUCUGGUUUGUGUUUGUAUUAUUAAGGUGAACAGGAUCUCCUAAAUCCAAUCCAUAUUCUUGAUGGAAUUAUUUUAAUAAUAGCUAUUUACUAGUAUGCUAAGCCUUUCCAUCUAUCAUCACAUUUAGACUCCCAAACAGUCCUUAGGAAAGAUGUUAAUAGCCUCUUUUGUAGGUGAGAAAUCAAGGUUUAGAAAGUGAAAUACCUUGUGAAAGACUGUAAAAUGCAAUAUAUAAGGAGUAGAGAUGAUAAGAGUAUCAGCAUUUUAGAAUUGCUAAAAGGAUUAAGAAAGCUAAAUUUAGGUUCUUGAUAAACAGAACUCAACAAUAAUGAUUGUUAUUAUUUAAUUAAAGGCUUACAGGCAAUAGAUGCUAGAGGUGGUGAAUAGCAUGCAAUUAAGGUACCAAAAAGUUAAUCAACUGUAGUUAGUAACAUCUUUCCGGGUGAAUUGUGUGUCAACAGAAAGAUGACUUAAGUUUCUGUUGUGGCUCAGCAGUAAUGAACCAGACUGAUGUCCACAAGAAUGCAGGUUCUAUCCCUGGCCUUUCUCAGUGGGUUAAGGAUCUGGCAUUGCCAUGAGCUGUAGGUUCGCAGAUGCAGCUAGGAUUCUGCAUUGCUGUGGCUGUGGUGUAGGCCGGUGGCUGCAGCUCUGAUUGGGAACUUCCAUAUGUCAUGGGUGUGGCCCUAAAAAAAAAAAAAAAAAAAAAAAAAAAA